This is a non-coding RNA of Amphimedon queenslandica, 72 nucleotides long. The record is from the annotation of a RefSeq genome assembly. Lineage: Eukaryota; Metazoa; Porifera; Demospongiae; Haplosclerida; Niphatidae.
GGGCCUAUAGCUCAUCUGGUAGAGCAACGGAUUUUUAAUCUGUUGGGUUUGGUUCAAGUCCAAAUGGGCUCU